AUACAGAGGGUGCGAGCGUUAAUCGGAAUUACUGGGCGUAAAGCGCGCGUAGGCGGCUGAUUAAGUCAGAUGUGAAAUCCCAGGGCUCAACCUGGGAACUGCAUCUGAUACGGGUAAGCUAGAGUUUGGGAGAGGGAAGUAGAAUUUCAGGUGUAGCGGUGAAAUGCAUAGAGAUCUGAAGGAAUACCAGUGGCGAAGGCGACUUCCUGGCCUAAAACUGACGCUGAGGUGCGAAAGCGUGGGUAGCAAACGGGAUUAGAAACCCCAGUAGUCC
Molecule: ribosomal RNA, 274 nt
Filed under: uncultured bacterium
Lineage: Bacteria
Description: partial 16S ribosomal RNA
Rfam family: Bacterial small subunit ribosomal RNA
Source: RNAcentral